Molecule: long non-coding RNA, 1858 nt
Organism: Xyrauchen texanus (razorback sucker)
Lineage: Eukaryota; Metazoa; Chordata; Actinopteri; Cypriniformes; Catostomidae
Exons: 3
Source: RefSeq, a predicted model, not a curated record
UGCUGCACAUUCGUUGAAUUCUGAAUUUUGCACACAUAAGUUGAAAGCAAUUUGUUUGUGGAUAGUAGGCACAAGAACAACACAAACACAAAAGCGCCUCAGUGCACUGUCACUGAUGGCCAUUGAAUCUCAGCUGGUCAUGGACUUGGAUUUUGAUGACAUUGUAACUGAGUUUGCUAACAGGAAAGCCAGGAAGAAGUCUUUUUAAGGGCAGCCGGAAAGAGGAGAGGAGGAGAGACAGACAAAAAAGUGUGGAGAGGAGGAGAAAGACAGACAGACAGACAGACCCUGAGGAGAGGAGGAGAGGAUGAGACAGACAGCCCCUGAGGAGAGGAGGAGAAAGACAGACAGACAGACAGACAGACCCUGAGGAGAGGAGGAGAGGAUGAGACAGACAGACCCUGAGGAGAGGAGGAGAAAGACAGACAGACAGACAGACAGACCCUGAGGAGAGGAGGAGAGGAUGAGACAGACAGCCCCUGAGGAGAGGAGAAAGACAGACAGACAGACAGACAGCCCCUGAGGAGAGGAGGAGAGGAUGAGACAGACAGACAGACCCUGAGGAGAGGAGGAGAGGAUGAGACAGACAGCCCCUGAGGAGAGGAGGAGAAAGACAGACCCUGAGACUGAGGAGAGGAGGAGAAAGACAGACAGAUAGACAGACAGCCCCUGAGGAGAGGAGGAGAGCAUGAGACAGACAGACAGACCCUGAGGAGAGGAGGAGGAAGAGGAGAGGGGGAGAGAGACAAAGAGCGGCAGCCCCUGUAGAGCCGAGGAGUAGAGGACAGGAGAGGAAGAGAGAGACAGACAGGAAAGCUACAUUAAUGGGAGUUGGUAAAGCCUACAGCAGUUCUGUCCAUGUGGUAACUAAUGGGCAAAGAGGUGUAAUUUAUUUGUGGGUGUUGUAUUGUUUUUAUUUAUUAUUGUAUAAAAUAUACAAUCUUGAAUCUGCCCCAGAGUCAUCCAUGUGUCUUGCCUGUCUCCAAACUUUGAAAUCUCUGGUUGAGAUUACAUGUCUGUUUGACUGCAAAAAUCAAAGCAUAUGAUUCCAUCUUUCUGUUAUCUGAUAAUGAUCUAAUUAAGCAAAUUAGUUACAUAAAUUGCUCAACAUGCAGCUCUUAGCAACCAAAUUACAUUGCGAGACAGAUAGUAGUAUUUGGGUGGAAUAAACAUUUAAAACUAUAAGUCGUUAGUAUUUGGUGGCAAUACUGCCUUGGAUGCACUUUUUUGGUCAUCCGGUUCAAUAGGUGGUGCUGUCACAAAAAAACUAGGGUCCAAGAAAGGCAGUCCUAAACCUUGGUCCUGAAACUGCAGCCUCCGCUUUUUUUUUUUUUUUUUGUUAAUUUUUUUUUAAAUGCUAAAAUAUUAAUUGUAUUAUCAAGGGUGGGUUUUCCAGUAUCUUAAUCCUUAAUCCAUCCUUGUAUAUAAAUAAUAUAUUUAGGCAUUGUUCAAUCAAAAGGGCUGUUUGCUUUUUUAAAAACACACCAAAGUUAUUUGAAGGAAAAACUUCUGUAUAGCAUUGAAUCAUGAAUGACCAACCUCAAUUAGCAAAUUUCCAGUGAGCAGACUCACUGUAAUAUUCGCAGUCAAACAAAACACCAAUUAAAGUAAACAUGUCUAAUAGAAUAGCUGUCUUGGUUUGAAUGCCAAGUCUGCGAGUCUAGACUAGUUUAUACAUAUGCACAACAUCCCUUGUGUUUCAGUGUUCCUGUGACCAAGCAAAUAGAUUUACUGUAAAAGACCACGUAGAUAUGAUCAUUUAUUCUUAGUCAUAAAGAAUGUGGAUUACUCCUAAAGACAAGAGAUUUCAAUAGAUGUUUGAUUCACGAGAGCGUUUGUUUAGAGUAAACCACAAAGA